UGGGCGUAAGCGCGCGCAGGCGGUUUCUUAAGUCUGAUGUGAAAGCCCACGGCUCAACCGUGGAGGGUCAUUGGAAACUGGGGAACUUGAGUGCACAAGAGAAAAGCGGAAUUCCACGUGUAGCGGUGAAAUGCGUAGAGAUGUGGAGGAACACCAGUGGCGAAGGCGGCUUUUUGGUCUGUAACUGACGCUGAGGCGCGAAAGCGUGGGGAGCAAACAGGAUUAGAUACCCUGGUAGUCCACGCCGUAAACGAUGAGUGCUAAGUGUUAGAGGGUUUCCGCCCUUUAGUGCUGCAGCUAACGCAUUAAGCACUCCGCCUGGGGAGUACGGUCGCAAGACUGAAACUCAAAGGAAUUGACGGGGGCCCGCACAAGCGGUGGAGCAUGUGGUUUAAUU
RNAcentral lists this ribosomal RNA (397 nucleotides) under Priestia megaterium. RNAcentral describes it as "bacterial SSU rRNA". It matches the Rfam family "Bacterial small subunit ribosomal RNA", at positions 555 to 951 of the family's 1533-position model. Lineage: Bacteria; Bacillati; Bacillota; Bacilli; Caryophanales; Bacillaceae. The record is from RNAcentral.